Molecule: long non-coding RNA, 445 nt
Filed under: Homo sapiens (human)
Lineage: Eukaryota; Metazoa; Chordata; Mammalia; Primates; Hominidae
Description: HSALNT0090213
Source: RNAcentral
CUAUCCUUCAGGAAGAAUGUGAAAAGUGUAUAAGUAGUAAGUCAGCUUUAGAAUAAAACUUUCUCCUUACUAUUCAAGUUAUUUGUGUCUGAAUCCCAAAUGACUACAGAUUAGAGUUAUAGGUCUGCAGUGCCACACAGGUGCAAAGAAUAAAAGCGCUCUGCUUACCCUCUCCACCAGGACUGAAGCAAAAACAACAGCGAGCUAUCUGUGAAAGCAAAAGCAACAGUCAGGCGGCUUGUGUUCUAUUUCUAGUCCACCUCAGCAAGACAACAGUAACCCUUAUUUGAACCACCUCCCAGGCCCUUCAAAAGAUGUGGACUGUUCUUUCCCAGGUGUGCUGGGUGUUGGUGACAGGAAACCCCAUGGAGGGAGAUGUGCCACAGAGAUCCUCAUCCGUGGACUUGGUGCUCGCUCCUGCUACCAUGAAUGCUGAGAGCAGAGC